GCAAGCUGACGAUGCUGCCAUCUGGCAGGAAGAGAAAGCACAUAUCAUUCCAUUGAGAAAAUAAAAAUGUACAGAACAAUAUUUUAAAAUUCAACAUAUAAUAAAUGAAUAAUCAAAUCUUUUAAAUUUUCUGUCGUGGAACUAUGGGCAAAAAAUGCAAUUAAUACAUGCUUAGUUUUUUAAAGAAACAAGAAGUUUCCAAAAUGGCAACAAAAUUGCCAGUAGAAGCAUAGUAUAGGGUUGCGUCUCAGUGCAAAGUUCAGAGAAUGACACUUUCAAAGCAUUUAGUUAGCAUUGUGCAAACAGACCUUUUUCCUCUUUUCUUUUGGUCCCUUUAUUAUUCUGUGGCUUUUAAGUAUCUAUUCCCCAAACUAUAUGGAGAUUACUUAACUAGAAGAAGUAGCAGCAUGAAUUUCUAACUAAAAGGUAAUUAUGAUUCCUUUCAUAAGAAGAAAAUCCUCGCUUCUUCAGUGCUCAUGAUUUCAAUUAUAAAGUUCCAAUCAUAUGAUUACUUGUCAUUCAAACAGGCACAGUCAAUCUAGGGAUCUCAAACACCACUUAAAUUUGCCAAUGAAAUACAUAACGUGCGAAAGGACAUGGAAGCAUCCAACCACUUAAAUUUGCCAAUGAAAUACAUAACGUGCGAAAGGACAUGGAAGCAUCCAGCUCAAAAACUAGCAGGUCCUACACUACCCUUUUUUUUUUCAUGUAAUUCUAGUUUACCAAGCCAAUAGUUGGAUUCAAUUGCUACGCAAAGCAGUAUUUAGUUCAUCUAUUCUCAUCUUCACAUCCAAUUUCAUUUUCUACAAUUAGCUACUGAAAUCUUU
Molecule: unclassified non-coding RNA, 827 nt
Filed under: Hevea brasiliensis (rubber tree)
Lineage: Eukaryota; Viridiplantae; Streptophyta; Magnoliopsida; Malpighiales; Euphorbiaceae
Source: RNAcentral